RNAcentral lists this ribosomal RNA (253 nucleotides) under uncultured bacterium. RNAcentral describes it as "partial 16S ribosomal RNA". It matches the Rfam family "Bacterial small subunit ribosomal RNA", at positions 524 to 776 of the family's 1533-position model. The record is from RNAcentral.
UACGUAGGGGGCAAGCGUUGUUCGGAAUUACUGGGCGUAAAGGGCGCGUAGGCGGCACGGCAAGUCGGGAGUGAAAGGCCUGGGCUCAACCGAGGAACUGCUUUCGAGACUGCCGAGCUAGAGUGCGGAAGGGGCAACUGGAAUUCCCGGUGUAGUGGUGAAAUGCGUAGAUAUCGGGAGGAACACCAGUGGCGAAGGCGACUACCUGGCCUGUUCUUGACGCUGAGGCGCGAAAGCUAGGGGAGCAAACGGG